AGCAGCAGCCGCGGGAAUACGUAGGGUGCGAGCGUUAAUCGGAAUUACUGGGCGUAAAGCGUGCGCAGGCGGUUUUGUAAGACAGAGGUGAAAUCCCCGGGCUCAACCUGGGAACUGCCUUUGUGACUGCAAGGCUAGAGUACGGCAGAGGGGGAUGGAAUUCCGCGUGUAGCAGUGAAAUGCGUAGAUAUGCGGAGGAACACCGAUGGCGAAGGCAAUCCCCUGGGCCUGUACUGACGCUCAUGCACGAAAGCGUGGGGAGCAAACAGGAUUAGAUACCCCUGUAGUCCCGUCUCUUAUACA
This 303-nucleotide ribosomal RNA is filed under the name uncultured bacterium. RNAcentral describes it as "partial 16S ribosomal RNA". It matches the Rfam family "Bacterial small subunit ribosomal RNA", at positions 507 to 808 of the family's 1533-position model. The record is from RNAcentral.